GUAAGCCUGAUACAUUGUUGAGUAAAUGCUCUCUUGGGUGAUCUUUGAUCAAUGAUAGGAAAAACAAAGGAGUUGGCUCAUAAAUUGGUUGCCUUUUCUUCCCCACAUAGACUGUUUUGAGAUGCAGGAAAUCCAUUCACGUUACCUGAAGAUAUCCAGCAUGAUUGAAACCAGCUAUGUUUUCUUGUGACCCUAAGUUCCGCCCUUAUUAUCCAAAAUCUGAUUCAAGACCUCCAAGUAAAGGAAAGAAUGUGAAAAUAAGUAAAAAGAAAAAAAUGACCAGACAUCUGGAGCUCCUCCUGCCACUGCUGAAUCCAUGACAGUGAAAUUCUUGUUCACUACGGUAAUCACAGAGAACGACUAUGCCAUGCCACUUCCAGAUUGCCUCACUUUCGCUAAAAGCCAGCAGGCGGCCCAGUGUUUCGUUGGUUCGAAUCCUGGGCGCGGACAUGACACUGCUCAUCAAACCACGCUGAGGCAGCGUCCCACAUGCCACAACUAGAAGGACCCACAACAAAGAAUAUACAACUAUUUACCGGGGGGCUUUGGGGAG
This 553-nucleotide long non-coding RNA is filed under the name Equus caballus (horse). RNAcentral describes it as "lncRNA (ENSECAG00000036298.3)". Lineage: Eukaryota; Metazoa; Chordata; Mammalia; Perissodactyla; Equidae. The record is from RNAcentral.